GGCUGGUCUGAGUGCAGUGGUGUUACAACUAAUUGAUCGCAGCCAGACUCUGUCCCUUCUCCACUCCCACUGCUUCACUUGAGUAGCCUUUU
This is an unclassified non-coding RNA of Otolemur garnettii (small-eared galago), 92 nucleotides long. It matches the Rfam family "Y RNA". From Rfam's summary of the family: Y RNAs are components of the Ro ribonucleoprotein particle (Ro RNP), in association with Ro60 and La proteins. The Y RNAs and Ro60 and La proteins are well conserved, but the function of the Ro RNP is not known. Lineage: Eukaryota; Metazoa; Chordata; Mammalia; Primates; Galagidae. The record is from Ensembl.